GGCGGGUGUAGCGCAGAGGUCGUCGCACUGGGACUCCAACUUCCUGGGGACGCCGGUUCGAAUCCGGCCGCCCGCCA
RNAcentral lists this transfer RNA (77 nucleotides) under Dactylosporangium sucinum. RNAcentral's name for it is "tRNA-Trp". It matches the Rfam family "tRNA". From Rfam's summary of the family: Transfer RNA (tRNA) molecules are approximately 80 nucleotides in length. Their secondary structure includes four short double-helical elements and three loops (D, anti-codon, and T loops). Further hydrogen bonds mediate the characteristic L-shaped molecular structure. tRNAs have two regions of fundamental functional importance: the anti-codon, which is responsible for specific mRNA codon recognition, and the 3' end, to which the tRNAs corresponding amino acid is attached (by aminoacyl-tRNA synthetases). tRNAs cope with the degeneracy of the genetic code in two manners: having more than one tRNA (with a specific anti-codon) for a particular amino acid; and 'wobble' base-pairing, i.e. permitting non-standard base-pairing at the 3rd anti-codon position. The record is from RNAcentral. Lineage: Bacteria; Bacillati; Actinomycetota; Actinomycetes; Micromonosporales; Micromonosporaceae.